This is a non-coding RNA of Theobroma cacao (cacao), 489 nucleotides long. NCBI's taxonomy places the organism in Eukaryota, Viridiplantae, Streptophyta, Magnoliopsida, Malvales, Malvaceae. The record is from RefSeq and is a predicted model, not a curated record.
AUGGGUACAUGAAGGGCUAAAAGUGGAAAAGGAAAACGAAGUGCAAAGAUAAGGUUAGAGUACUGUGGUGGCAUGCCGAAAGGAAUAACGAGCAACCGGGAAGUAGAAAUAGCUAGAUACACCUUUGAGCUAAUAGCGAUGUAACAUCCCGCUAUCGUAAGGGGAAAAAGCUUUUAGUGAAACGUCUUUGUGAUGUGGAACAUGAUUGUAAUGAAACUAUAUACCUCUAUAUGAUGCUGAUAUGUAUGUAAAGAUAUAUGAUGUGUAUUGUUAAGCAAAGUAAUUUUGUAUAAUGGAUGUAACCGUGCAUGUGCAAAGUGGGUAGUGCACAUGCUAGUUGAAUGAUGAGGUUUCGAUAGUUACAACCAUGCAUGUACGGAGUGGGCAAUGCACAUGCCGGUUGAAUGACGAUGUUGCGAUAAUUACUACUGUGCAUGUGCGGAGUGGACAAUGCACAUGCUGGUAAUGAUGCAUAUGAGUUGGGUGAUG